Molecule: long non-coding RNA, 977 nt
Filed under: Capsella grandiflora
Lineage: Eukaryota; Viridiplantae; Streptophyta; Magnoliopsida; Brassicales; Brassicaceae
Description: long non-coding RNA (CGRA_LNC001563)
Source: RNAcentral
AAAAUAAGUAGGAAAUAAAAUACGAACCAAUUACUCAUAAACAACAUAAUAAACUCCCGCGCUACAUCUAUUUAUAAAGUAAUGAUCAAUUUUUUUAUUAAUGGGGCUAAAUACAAAAACAAAAUACAAAACAAGGAUAUUUAUACUAUACAGAUAGAUAUACCACUAAAUUGAUGACAUCCGAAGCCACCUCAAACGAGAACACAACCGAUUUUAGGCAUAAGAAGUAGAAAAAAAAAACUAAAAAGUAAAAUGAAAACACUUGGAUAAAUAAAUAAGUGUAUUCACCUGAAUAAUUUGGCCUACGAGAGUUGAAGGCUUUUGAAAUGUAAGGUUCUAACAGCUAAUAUUUGACCUAAAUCAAAGUUAAACAAAUAACAAUAAACAUUUCAUAUACUAAAUUAAUACAAAAACAACAGUAAAAACAAAAAAAUAAACAAAAAACAAAGAAAAAUCAAAAUAUAAAUUUCAAAAUAUAAAAAAACAAUUAUAAAAUUCCCGCGCGCAGCGCGGGUCAACAACUACUACAGUAUAUAAUAGACUUGUUGUACAUGAACCAUAUUACCCAAAGAAUAAUAGAUCAUGUACAUCAAUGAUGACGCAUAAUUAUAAUUAUAGUUUUAAUCUUUCUAAUAAUUAUUAAUAACAUUUAGAUCUAAAGUCUAAACGUAUGUAUUAGUAUUAGAGACGAAUUGCCAAAAAGGCAUUUUGAAUAGAGAGUACUACUUUAAUGACCGUAAAAGAUUGGUUAGGCGGAAGAAUGCGUGUCGUUUUGUCGAUCCGCAUCACUCAAGUCGCACGCGGUUUAUGAGAUUUCUUCAGAUACACUUUCACUACAAAUGCGUCUCAUCUUAGCCAUCAUAGGUACUUUGGCCUAAUUUCUUCUCAUUUGGCUUUGCAUACAUAUUCAGAAUUAAUAAUUGUUUGGUUAAUAAUUUUGUAAGGGGAGACCUGUUAAUUAACAUUUGAGGAAGGUA